GACCCCUCCGGUGUCGUAGCCAACGCGUUAAGUGUUCCGCCUGGGGAGUACGCACGCAAGUGUGAAACUCAAAGGAAUUGACGGGGGCCCGCACAAGCGGUGGAGUAUGUGGUUUAAUUCGAUGCAACGCGAAGAACCUUACCAGGAUUUGACAUCCUGCGAAUCUCUUGGAAACUUGAGAGUGCCUUCGGGAACGCAGUGACAGGUGGUGCAUGGCUGUCGUCAGCUCGUGUCGUGAGAUGUUGGGUUAAGUCCCGCAACGAGCGCAACCCACGUCUUUAGUUGCCAGCAUUUAGUUGGGCACUCUAGAGAGACCGCCGGUGAUAAACCGGAGGAAGGUGUGGAUGACGUCAAGUCAUCAUGCCCCUUACAUCCUGGGCUACACACGUACUACAAUGCUACGGACAAAGGGCAGCAAGUUCGCGAGGACAAGCAAAUCCCAUAAACCGUAGCUCGGUUCAGAUCGUAGGCUGCAACUCGCCUACGUGAAGGAGGAAUCGCUAGUAAUCGCAGGUCAGCAUACUGCGGUGAAUACGUUCCCGGGCCUUGUACACGCCGCCCGUCACACCAUGGAAGUUGGCCAUGCCCGAAGCCGUUACUCCAACCCUUGUGGAGGAGGACGUCGA
This 626-nucleotide ribosomal RNA is filed under the name uncultured Synechococcus sp. RNAcentral describes it as "bacterial SSU rRNA". It matches the Rfam family "Bacterial small subunit ribosomal RNA", at positions 833 to 1459 of the family's 1533-position model. Lineage: Bacteria; Bacillati; Cyanobacteriota; Cyanophyceae; Synechococcales; Synechococcaceae. The record is from RNAcentral.